GACGAACGCUGGCGGCGUGCUUAACACAUGCAAGUCGAACGGAAAGGCCCUGCUUUUGUGGGGUGCUCGAGUGGCGAACGGGUGAGUAACACGUGAGUAACCUGCCCUUGACUUUGGGAUAACUUCAGGAAACUGGGGCUAAUACCGGAUAGGAGCUCCUGCUGCAUGGUGGGGGUUGGAAAGUUUCGGCGGUUGGGGAUGGACUCGCGGCUUAUCAGCUUGUUGGUGGGGUAGUGGCUUACCAAGGCUUGGACGGGUAGCCGGCCUGAGAGGGUGACCGGGCACAUGGGGACUGAGAGACGGACCAGACUCGUACGGGAGGCAGCAGUGGGGAAUAUUGCACAAUGGGCGGGAGCCGGAUGCAGAAACGCCGCGGGCGGGAUGACGGCCUGCGGGUUGUGAACCGCUUUCGCCUGUGACGAAGCGGGAGUGACGGUAAUGGGUAAAGAAGCACCGGCUAACUACGUG
Molecule: ribosomal RNA, 468 nt
Filed under: uncultured bacterium
Lineage: Bacteria
Description: partial 16S ribosomal RNA
Rfam family: Bacterial small subunit ribosomal RNA
Source: RNAcentral